UUUUCGCCGCGCAACUGGCGAUACAUGGCCGGGUGCUUUCGAGUGCCCGAGCCUGAGGUGGUGAACCACCGGGAAGCGCGGCCAGCCCAAGCGGCUUUUUGAGCCCGGGCUGUGUCAGCCGUUCGCCUGGGCAGCCCUC
RNAcentral lists this non-coding RNA (139 nucleotides) under Aquabacterium sp. NJ1. Its description in RNAcentral is "ZMP/ZTP riboswitch aptamer (pfl RNA motif)". It matches the Rfam family "ZMP/ZTP riboswitch aptamer (pfl RNA motif)". Rfam says of the family: Previously known as pfl RNA. ZMP is also known as AICAR. The record is from Rfam by way of RNAcentral. Lineage: Bacteria; Pseudomonadati; Pseudomonadota; Betaproteobacteria; Burkholderiales; Sphaerotilaceae. RNAcentral also lists the same sequence under 1 other name.